Pezoporus flaviventris is the source of this 3055-nucleotide long non-coding RNA. RefSeq lists it as uncharacterized. NCBI's taxonomy places the organism in Eukaryota, Metazoa, Chordata, Aves, Psittaciformes, Psittacidae. The transcript has 3 exons. The record is from RefSeq and is a predicted model, not a curated record.
AUUCCUAUAAAUUCAGGUAUAAAUGUUUCAGUCAUUUAGAAGAGGUAGUUGGUUUCUGCGUCAUUGGGGACCUACAUGAACAGUAGACACCAGGAUGAUGGUUAAUUCAACACUGAGUACAGGAAAGCAUCUAGUUAAUGAAUUCACUGUGUACUUCUGAGGCAGGUGGAAGGUUCUAUUAUCUUUUAAAUGGCAUUUUUGGACGCAACAUGUCAAGGAAAAAGAGGAAAACAAAUACUCCCUGGGAUUUGUUCGAGGAAUUGUGGAAGUGGUCAGAUGAAGCUAAUGUUGUUGACUUCCCAUUCAGCAGGCAGCCAACUGAUGAUUCUCCAGCACGUGACUGUGAGGAGGGAAAGCUGUCCCCUGUCACGGCAGCAUAGUGGCGCGUUUGACAUCUCCUGUUAAAGACAGAAUGGACUUCAAAGCAUGGGAGCAAAAUUCUGCAUUCAUCAGAGCCUACUGACAAGAUUUCAUCCCAGCUAUUAACCUCUCAGCACUCGGAGCCUGGCUCACAAUGAGAGCAAGAUAAGGCUGCCCUGGAGCUACAAGCCAUUAACUGAAACACAUAUGCAGCAUUAUCAAACUGAGCAAAGCCUGAAAUCAAAAGGGACUCCUAGGCCACUGGCAAUCACUUAUCCCUUUUGCAGCAUAAGGGCAUCCAGGAAGAAUUACACAGUUCAUGACUGAAGAAAAUCCAGCUGCUUUUACUUCUAGCUGCAACAGAUUGGUACAUAACGUGAUUUUCCUCGCUUCUCCUUUCAUGGUACUAGUUUUGUUUUUAAGGGGAAUAUUUAUGAAAACAUCAUCCUACAAUAGCCUAAUAAAGCAAUGCCUGCAAAGUGAACAUAAGCAUCGCUAAAGGUUUGCAGCCUUCCGGGACUCUGGUGUAAACUCUAAAUCCAGAACCAGCAACUCUGGCAUUCAGAUGACAUCGGUGACCUCACUAUGUUUUGGCUAAGAAAUGCCAUGGAAGUUCUCUCCUCAGAUGGUACCUGACCCUAAAAAUUCAGGACUACCACAACUUGAAGCAGAGCACUCAGAUUACUGCUUACGUGUGCUGUAGAGCUGGGUACUCUCUAUAGAGCUUACACUUUGUACUUGACAUUUAGCUGCAGCAAAACUCUUCUGGCUUUCAGAGCCCUACAACUGUCUAAAUUAUGGCUUGAAAUAAUAAUACUUCACCUUAGCUCAGAGCAUUGUAUAUAUCUGUGGUAUUUCACUUUGUAGGCCGGGUCCUGCGACUUAAACGAUCUGAUGCUGCCUUACGACCUGCGGCUAGCAAGCACUUGACUGUCAAGUGAAAGUUUAUCAUAAAACAGCCAAAAUAUCCUUGCAGACAUAGUACAAAAACAACAGUAAGUACCAGCCUGCACUGUUCUGUAUAUGGGAGCAUAACCCAGUGACAGAAGCAGCUGUAGAAGGUAGAAGGGCAGUUUGCCAACGAUGUGUUAGAAAGCGGUGUGAGAAGCACCGGCACGUUUGAGCAUUGAGAAUUAAAAGGUACUGAUGUCCAACUUGCUCUUCCAACAAUUACAAAGGCAAGGUUGGGGAUUUUACAUAAGGCAGAGCUGAAGACUAAUGAAGUUCCUGCGUAAACCUUAAGAUGCCACACGGGCAGUUCUUCAUCUAAAAUAUUUUUAGAUGUCUUUGCUAAGGACCUUUGAUUUGUAGCUUUCAAAAAGAACUUCCAAAACAGGCGUCUCAAGCCUCAGAUCCCCAUUAUCAAGUCCCCAUUCUGCCCGCUUGUCUGCAGCUCUGAAUAAAGCUCAAAGCACUCGCUGCACCACCACAGACCGCUGUCAGUACACACACACACCAAGCAUUUACCCAUUCUUAGGGUAUCCUUGGCAUGGGACUAGAGCAUUCAUUAAGUGUUUACAGUGUGAAAUUAAGGGCAACUUCUUAUUCACCUUCUGGUAUUUCUGGUUCUAUACUAUUUUCCAUUUAAAUCAGGUUUUAUUAUUCCUUGGCACUAAGCCCCCAACCCCACAUCUAUGUGCAAGACUUUCAAAUGCGUGCAGGCCUUUAUUAAUUUAAACCCCAUUCACAAGUCAUGCAGAUGCCUAAGGACUUUUCCAUACUGGUCUAUCCAGAGCAAUAUCAUGUCCUGUACUGUGCAGGUGUAAGGCUCUUAGAUCUCAUCAACGAGAUUAUUGACUAAUUCUCAGAGGUGCUUAAGCAGAUGCAUAUCUAUUCGUCUUGAAUAGGGCUAGUCAGGCGAUUAGAGCUCCACUCAUGCGUGCUGGGGAUGGCUUUGCUGCAUUUGCCAAGAUUACACCCUGAUCUACAGCACAGUUGGAAAGCAAAUGCAUUUCCCCAAAUACCGACACUCUGUUCAUAAAGACAUCCUGUUUCGCGUAAUAAAACAACUCAAUCCUUUUCUCCUGCAAGGGGGAGAAGAAAAGGGGAAUGACGCUCAAUUUAGUUUUGUAAACCACCCCCCUCCAUGCACACACACACUCACUCACUCUUGCUUUUCCAGCCUUUUCCUGUUCCCCAUUGGGAACAUACCACUGACAGCUAUUUCAGUCCUUGGCACCAGAAAAACAGUCGCCUUGGAAAAGAGAUCUUUCCUCUUGCCUGUGCUCUAUCAUUCCUCCCCUAUCUGCCAGCUCAUUAGGAAACAUGUCCUUGCUGUAUGUCUACAACAUCUCACUCCAACCACCGGCUCUUUUGAGCCCUUAACCACAGGCUGAACUCAAAUGGAAACAUCCUUAUUAGACCACUGGACUUUAUUAUUCUAAGGGCCCAGAUGAAAACCAGCUGCUAUUUUUCUUUGGAUCAUGCCUAAAAUGCCUUUCAUUUGAUACGCCUUACAAAGCUACCACCAUACAUUUCAAUUCAAGUAAGGUCUCACAGGCUUAAGAUCCCUUUCCAUGAGCCAUCACCCACAGUUUUCACAAUGAAGUAUUGGCGUGUUCCUUCUUGUACUAAAAUUUCUCCACCCUUCCCUAUUCCUGCCUGCGAGUAUGCACUUACACAAGUGUGCUGACCCAGACUUUGUCGCAACAACUCUUCCAUUCUUAGCCUGCACCGACAGUGUUUUAAGUUUUAU